Nyctereutes procyonoides (raccoon dog) is the source of this 5643-nucleotide RNA transcript. It is a transcript of the gene named MYST/Esa1 associated factor 6, with no coding region annotated. The transcript is spliced from 8 exons. NCBI's taxonomy places the organism in Eukaryota, Metazoa, Chordata, Mammalia, Carnivora, Canidae. The record is from RefSeq and is a predicted model, not a curated record.
GCCGCCGCCGCCGCCGCCGCCUCAGCCCAACAUGGCGAUGCACAACAAGGCGGCGCCGCCGCAGAUCCCGGACACCCGGCGGGAGCUGGCGGAGCUGGUGAAGCGGAAGCAGGAGCUGGCGGAAACACUGGCGAACUUGGAGAGACAGAUCUAUGCUUUUGAAGGAAGCUACCUGGAAGACACUCAGAUGUACGGCAAUAUCAUCCGCGGCUGGGAUCGGUACCUGACCAACCAAAAAAACUCCAAUAGCAAAAACGACCGAAGGAACCGGAAGUUUAAGGAAGCUGAGCGACUCUUCAGUAAAUCCUCAGUUACUUCAGCAGCUGCAGUAAGUGCAUUGGCAGGAGUUCAGGAUCAGCUCAUUGAAAAGAGGGAGCCGGGCAGUGGGACGGAAAGUGAUACUUCUCCAGACUUCCACAAUCAGGAGAAUGAGCCCAGCCAGGAGGACCCUGAGGAUCUGGACGGAUCUGUGCAGGGCGUGAAGCCUCAGAAGGCUGCUUCUUCUACUUCCUCAGGGAGUCAUCACAGCAGCCAUAAAAAACGAAAGAAUAAAAACCGGCACAGUGCGUAAUGAGAUAGGAAUGACAUCAGUGGACAGAGAGGUCAGGUGUCACCCAGAGAGGAUUUUAGCAUUCACUCUGCCUGGGGUUUGUAUGAUGAUGCCAGGGCCUAUUAACUCAGAUAAUUGGAAAUUACACAGCUGCACUCAAAAUGGGUAAUGCAUAGUUUCUAGAGUGAGCGAGCAAUCUUGCUCUGAUCUCAAACUUCCUUCUGGCAGGCAUGAAAACCAGGUGUCCCUAGGCUGGCUUUUGUCCUGCUCCUCUUGGGAGCUCGUACUGAGAUGAAAGGGCACAAGCAAGAAAGGGGCGGGAUUCCCUGUCCCCCAGUGCACUUCUGGGUUAGGUUGCCUUACAGACCUGUGGGAUAACCAAGGCAUUCAUGUUGUUAGCUUCGUGGUUAUGGCACAUGGGGAUAAUAUACAAUGAACUUGAACUAGUUGAAGCCUCCUAUAAGCAUCAGCAGAUUCUCUAAUUCUUUAAAGAAUUUUUCUUGUCAAUGGCGGUGGUGGUUUUUAGACUGCAGAAAUAGUAUUUCCUCCAAAGAGUGACUCAAGAUCGCUGCUUAACGCUUUCCUGCAAACCAAAAGUCACUAUGCCGGUCUUGUAACGGCAGUAAGAAAUAGCAAAAAUUGCACAUCUUAUUUUGUGUGUAAGGUUAUAGGCUGUUUAAUCACUGUGGUAGGACUAAUGUUAGCUUAUCACAAACAAUAGCAGGGAACCAAAGUCUUAAAAUAUUUUUUUAAGUUCAGAUAAUUAAAUAUCGGGCUCUGUGUUGCUUUUAUGAAAUUUAUUUCAGUGUCAUUUUAAAGCAAUAAUUCUUUUCCUAUUUCACAGUGUUUAGAGCAGGGGGACAAUUCCUUGAAAGUUUCUGCGACAUUUUUUCCAUUAGUGAUACAAUAGAGAGCUACCAUUUAUUGUAGGUGACACUUCCCUUUUUGUAAUGCCAUCAUCAGUUGACUGAUAAAAGGGAAUUAGGCAGGAACUGAACUUCCUCCUGUACGUUUCUAGUAGAGUUCCAUAAGAACAGCACUUCUUCCUACCCUUUUUUCUCCUGGCUCCCAGAGCUAACUCCUCCCAGAAAAACAGAAGGAUUUCUAAAGAUCAUGGAUGUUCUUUAUUGCUUUCACAGAUGGUGUUUUCUGUUUGGAAGGCUGGCUUUUUUUGUCAUCCUCCUGGUUUACUAUCUGGCUGGCCUUCUCCCUUGGCCAUAGGCACAUACGUGCCCUCAGGGAGCAGAGUGGAGCUGAUUUACCUUCUUCCUGUGUAAAAGGCUCUGUGCACCAGAGUGGCGUCUCAGUGGCCAGUUAAGGUUCUACAUUCCCACCAUCUUCAGUCAGGAUCUGUCCAAUCCCCUUGCCCCCUCACUGCUAUCUUUGUGGUUCUAUCAGAUUGAGUGAGGGUGGGGCACUUUGUUCAUACACAUUUGUAUAUUUGCAUCUGGUACAGUACUUGUUUCUGCUCCCAACACGCCACACCCCAUAUACUCAGAUAAAGUCAAUAGUGAAUUAUUUCAACAAAUGUCUGACUACCUACUGCGUGCCAGGCACUGUUUAGGGGUGAGUAAAGCAAAGUGGGAAUAGAUACGGUACUGUAGCAAAAAGGAAUAACUUGGAUUUGUCCUCCUUAGGAAUAUGAACACUUGUCAAAUAAUUUUUUAGCAUUCAUAAAUGAUCACAGUGUCCUAAAUUUUUAUAUUUUACAUGAUAUCUGAAUCUUAAGUCCCAGGGCCUUUAAAGAAAAAAGUUGAAGUAAUAACUUGUAGCUACUCUUAUAGGUUUUUCCUAAUAUACAAAACUCUAGAAUUCUUCUAGGUAGUUUGUGAUGUUUUCAUUAAGUAGGUACAGUCUGAUUUGCAAAAGAAACUAAGAUAGGCUGAUGCGCCUGGAUGGCUGUCAGUUAAGCAGCUGCCUUUGGCUCAGGUCAUGAUCUCAGGGUCCUGGGAUCGAGCCCUAUGUCGGGCCCCUUCCGUGGUGAGUCUGCUUCUCCUCCCUCUGCUCUUCCCCCUGCUUGUGCACUCCAGCUUAUGCUCUCUCAUUCUCUCAGAUGAAUAGAUAAAAUCUUUUUAAAAAAUAAAAUGUUUUUAAAAAAUUGUUAUGCUGAAAGUGAAUUUUUAAAAUUUAAGUCUUAUUUAAGUAAUCUCUACUCAAUGCGGGGCUCAAACUCAAGACCCCAAGAUCAAGAGUCACAUAGAUGCUCUUCCAGCUGAGCCAGCCAGGCGCCCCUGAGAUUUAAAUUGAUAGUUCCUGGUUUGUACACUGUGUACUCUUCCCCAAGUGACUUAAGUGAGGCAGUUGCAUAAGAGAUUGAAGUUACACUUUGCUUUAGCUUCACUCUUACAAACAUGGGCCAGGAGGAAAAGCGAGUAUUUUGCAUUUUGUUUUAGCACCUGCCUACAGUGUGAAAGGUGUUGGAGCCAGCCAAAGAGUGGUAUCAUGCUCAGGGUUGAUGUUUGCUUUGGAGGUCUGCCCAGACCAUGGUCUGUCAGCAGCGAUGUCCGAAACAGCCUCCUCCCCUGCACUGUUCCCUUCCAGAUCCCUGGGGCUCAGGUGCUCGUGGAUGUCAGCUCUCCUUUGUUUUAUUUAGUAGGGAUGCUGUACAUUGGGGUGUUCUUAAUACUAGCCCUGACAUAAACAGUUACCUGCCAUCACCAUUUCAGGGGCAAAGUGAUGUGGCUCUGCAGUUCUCUGGAACAAGACUGUCACCAAAGUUUAUUCAUUUGACCCUUGGCCUCCAGGAUGAAUGCUCUAGAAAAAAAGAGUACCAUGUUCCCUGGGCAUUCCUAGAACUUAUAACUUUAAGUUGAGUUAAAAGCUGCAAAAUGUUUUCUUUGAGAAAAAUUUAUAAUGUUUUGAUCUUUUAUGUUGGUCAAAGUAUAUUGUGCUGAAUUGUUAGUACUGUCUUCAAAGCACCUUUCAUUAUAUGACUAAACCCUUCUUUCUCUGUUUCUUCUAAUGUCCUAUUUAUAUUUUUCACUACAAUUACGUAUUUUAAAAGUUCUAACUCUGAAUCUGGCACCUAAUAGACAGCCUGCAGUUCCCUCGUUUUCUAAUGAAAUAACUUUUCCUUUCAUAGUCUGUUCUUCUGAUACAAAAUCCAGUGAGGGAAGGGACUCUCCCAACCACAGAAUCUUUGGUGCUUUGAUGUUUGAAACUUUAUGGCUUAAGAUUCUUAAAGCUGAUUUUGUUUCUACGAAUCUUGCUAGGGUGGCUAAUCGACUAAUUUAUUCAAUUAGUAUAUUAAUUUCUAUUGCUUUCUUCCUUUCAAAUGCUGCCCCUCAGCCCGUCUGGCAUGUUUGAUUAUGACUUUGAGUAAGUUUGAUUUGAAUUAGUAUUUGUGCUGUGUUGUUUAGUGUGUAGAGACCAAUAUGCCUUUUUGAGACCUUUCUAACCCAUAGUUUAUCUGUUUAAUUGUAGGUAUGUAUAUUAGGUUAGGCUGGGAAGUUUUUUUUAAAAACAGAAAAACGUGAUGGAGGAUUGAUCUGAAGUUAAACAAAAAACCACGAGCUGACUAUUAGAAGACUCAUUAGUGCAGAAGCUUCCAGGCUGUAGAGCCCUGCUUCCCUCCUCCAACCUCACAAAGAUAAAUAUCCCUCACCUGAGUGCGCGGCCAUCCACCUCUGCUUUCCCAGACCCAGUGCCUGUGACUCUGAAUAGUUUGUUCUGAAACGUGGUGACAAGUCAUUUCUCUAAGACCACACUGGAUCAUUUACUGUGUGUCAUGUUUAGUAACAGAACUGCAAGAAGACCAAGACAUGGUUAUAAUUCCAGCAAGUUGCUAACUCUGCAUUUCUCCCUUCUUGGAAUGAAUGUGUGUCCCCUACCCCCCCCACCCCCAACCCCCGCCCCAAAAACUGGCUGGCACCAGCUUCAUCUGUGAUACCCAUUGAGAAAUGUUCUCUGGUUUUGUUUAUGCUGAAGGUAGAACAUAGGUCACGUUUCAGAGGGAGGCUGUAAAUAUCUGGCAUUUUCUUAUUUUGUUUGUGUUUUAUUAUUUUUCUAUUGUUUUUACCAUCUUCUUUUCUUUAGGGACUUUUUGUAAUGCCGUUGUACAGCUCAUACCUUCCUGCCAACAUAUCUGGUAAUCUGUUUCAUGCAGUUGCCAACAUUCUUAACUGAAAAUAAUCUGGUUUAUCAUAGAGAAAAUGGGGAACUUGGCUCUGUGUUUUUGCAGGGGGAAGGUAGAGAGGGUUUAUUUAAUAAUUACCUAUCUUAAAUCUUUCUGCAUUGGAAGCAGUUUCGUGUUCAAGGAACAGGAAAAGCUGAAAAAAAAAAACCUAAGUUUAAAUCAAUCCUUUUAAAAUAGAUAUUUUUAUUCUUUUAUAUAAAUAAAAUUUCACAGGUGUUGACUUCUCAUGCUUUACUUUUAAACCUGAGAUUGUUUUUUCACUUAUUUUAUUUAUUCGUAUCAUGCCUUAUGGAAAUUUCUCCCUUUUUCCAUUUUUCUCUCUUUGCUGGUAUCUGCCUGACUAAACAUUGCUCUAAAAAUCACUAAGGCAUAUGGAAGGGCUCAACUUUGCACCCAAAGCUGGUAAUGCCUGGAGUUCUUGAGCAGAGUGAGAGAUAGGAUCCGCGAGAGCCAGCAAUGCCCAGCAAGACUGCCCGCCCCCCUUCCUCUCAGAGCCAGCUGGGCUGGGGAACUUGCAGAUUUGUUGAACUCCUGUCUCUUGAGUGGGGCUCUAUCUCGGCCGCUCAUGACUCACCUGGGAAGCUUACAGACCUACUGAUGCCUAGGUCCCCACCCCCAGAGACUCUGACUGGGGUACAGUCUAGUUCCUGGGAUUUCCUGCCACAGAGGCCCUGGGGUUCUGAUAAGAAGCCAGGUUGAGAACCACUGCAUGAGGAGUGUCUGAUUGAAAUCCUAUGUUGCGAAUCAGUCUAGGGGAUGAGAUUUGGGGCCCCGCCUUUCUUUCGAUGCUGUCCAGUCCUAGUCCUCGACUUAGGCCCAUAUCUUUGUUAGAACAAGUAUGUUGCAUUGUGAUAAUAUUGGUAGAGCUGAAUACGGAUGGCGUCUGUUAGCAAAACGCGUCUACCUUGUCAGAUGUGCGAAAGCUUUCACUCUUGUUCUCAAAUAAACUUUUUUUUUU